UGGGGGGACGCAGUAGGAUAGGCGAAGCGUGCGAUUGGAUUGCACGUCUAAGCAGUAAGGCUGAGUAUUAGGCAAAUCCGGUACUCGUUAAGGCUGAGCUGUGAUGGGGAGAAGACAUUGUGUCUUCGAGUCGUUGAUUUCACACUGCCGAGAAAAGCCUCUAGAUAGAAAAUAGGUGCCCGUACCGCAAACCGACACAGGUAGUCAAGAUGAGAAUUCUAAGGUGAGCGAGCGAACUCUCGUUAAGGAACUCGGCAAAAUGACCCCGUAACUUCGGGAGAAGGGGUGCUCUUUAGGGUUAACGCCCAGAAGAGCCGCAGUGAAUAGGCCCAAGCGACUGUUUAUCAAAAACACAGGUCUCUGCUAAACCGUAAGGUGAUGUAUAGGGGCUGACGCCUGCCCGGUGNNNNNNNNNNNNNNNNNNNNNNNNNNNNNNNNNNNUUGUCGGGUAAGUUCCGACCCGCACGAAAGGCGUAACGAUUUGGGCACUGUCUCAACGAGAGACUCGGUGAAAUCAUAGUACCUGUGAAGAUGCAGGUUACCCGCGACAGGACGGAAAGACCCCGUGGAGCUUUACUGUAGCCUGAUAUUGAAAUUCGGCACAGCUUGUACAGGAUAGGUAGGAGCCUUUGAAACGUGAGCGCUAGCUUACGUGGAGGCGCUGGUGGGAUACUACCCUAGCUGUGUUGGCUUUCUAACCCGCACCACUUAUCGUGGUGGGAGACAGUGUCAGGCGGGCAGUUUGACUGGGGCGGUCGCCUCCUA
RNAcentral lists this ribosomal RNA (765 nucleotides) under Corynebacterium diphtheriae. RNAcentral describes it as "partial 23S ribosomal RNA". It matches the Rfam family "Bacterial large subunit ribosomal RNA", at positions 1465 to 2292 of the family's 2925-position model. The record is from RNAcentral. Lineage: Bacteria; Bacillati; Actinomycetota; Actinomycetes; Mycobacteriales; Corynebacteriaceae.